GGGCAGCGCGCGUAAAUGCAGUCGACGGGAAAGCGGGGGCAACUCCGCGAGUAUAGUGGCAGACGGGUGAGUAACACGCUGAACAAUCUACCCUUGACAGGGGAAUAACCCCGCAAAAGCGGGGUCUACAUACCGACAUAACAUCCCUGAGUCGGAUGGUGACAGGGAUCAAACCGUUCCUGCUUCUAAAGGACGAUUCCGCGCGCUCAUCAUAGUUGCUUGGCUGAUAGUACACGCGCCCCAACCGACGACCCACCCAUCCGUUCGGCGCCGAUGAACGAGCGACACACUCACCACCGGUGACAGAUGAGCCAGCCCAUCACUCUUCUAGGACGGGGCGUUCGGGAACAAUUUCGCGCAUUGGCCCACACCCUGACCCCCACCCCCCGCGCGAAACAAGAACGUCCUACCCUCAAACACUUCUGUCUAGGGAGAAAAAAAACCCGACAACACCUAUUGAAUAAGCCCUCUCUAGAUACCACGGAUAACUCCGUGCAAUACGUCCGGCUAAUUCGUUAUCGGGAAUUAUUGGUCCGUAAAUAUCUCUUAUACGGGUUGUCAACGCUGCUAGGUAAAUACGGUGUUUAAACUCCGAUUCUACCUCGGGAACUGGAUCAGAAACAUGCUGUGCCUGACAUACUGCAAUUCCUGGUGGAAUUCCUAAAAUACCCAUAAAUCGCGAAGAACACCGAAGGAAAACGAGCGGCUAAGGCAUCUACCUGGACCGUAACUAACCAUAUCUUCUCGAAACCUACGCGAUUAAAUACCCAUGAUAUACCCUGGCAUACACCUUUUUUAAAUAAUGGUUACGCCACAUUCCAAAUUAUCUGCCCCCGACCGAACGAA
RNAcentral lists this ribosomal RNA (846 nucleotides) under uncultured bacterium. Its description in RNAcentral is "partial 16S ribosomal RNA". The record is from RNAcentral.